GCGGGGUGUUAAUAUUUACCCUUUUUCUUCUUCUUCCCUCUUCUGCUAUUCACUACUCAUCCCCCUCGCUGCUCUCCAAACACCGCCGGAGACUCAUCAUCUCCAUAACUAUGCUCCCCUGAGACCCAAACACCACCAUUCUUCACCGGACACUCACAACCAUGCCUACAAUUCGAAGAAGUUAUCAAGAUCGUUCGACACCACCGUUUCCUCCUUUUCUUCUUUCAUUAAUCCAUUCCCCGGCGUUCAAGAAUCCUUUGCGUUUCACUCUUCGUCUCUUAGUUAUUUUCAAUUAGGCCAAGAUUUUUAAAGUCUCUCUUCAUUACUGGAUUCAUCGGGAUAUUGGGUUGUACCUUUAUGCUUUGUAGUUGUAUGACGUCUGGUUGCGAUGUCAGUUUGAUUCACCGUCAUCGUCGAUCAAGAAAAAGAGUACAAAUCUUUCCCCUUUGAUUUCCAGGUAGUGUCUUUGUUUGUUUAAUUGUUUGUAUUUUUUCAAUAAUGACUUGGAAGUGUUUUAGGCAUGGUAAACUUUUAUGUCAUGAAACUGUUUUUUCUUGUUCUGCUAAGCAUGCGUCAUCAUUGCUUAAAGGAUCAACCGCUGUACCCAAGGAUCUACAAGAGGUAUACCAAAGGUAACCUAAUCCAAAACAUCCAUCAAACAAAUAUGAUUAGUCAACAAGUGGUGGUGUCAGUAAAAUUUAAAUAGUUGUAUUGUAAGAAAGAAAGUAUGGAUUUCAUCUCAUUCUUUCUUGUGAUCUGUACAAGAAAUGGCAUUAGGUAUUGCAAUUUUUGUUACCUUAUUACCUUGAUAGGUAAUUUGGUUAGUACUUAUUAGAUAAUUCUCUUUAUCAAAUAUCUAUGAUUCUGUAACAAUAUAUGAAUGAUUUCAAUCUUUUUAGAUACAUUUUUGGUGCUGAUUUUUUCAAUUAAGGUCCUUAUUUGAGGAUGGAAUGAGUUGUUCUUAGGAUUAAUCUUCUAUUUUGAUAAUUUUGUUCUAUUAAACGCAACUAAAUUUUAGAUUAUUGUUGCUAGCGUUUUACUGUUUGGGUUACAUAUGGCCAUCAGGUAAAACAUAACUGCAUCUCUAAAAUGGUACACAUGUUCUACUUUGUCUUAGUAUCAUUUCACAAAUUAGUGGCUUAUUUAGCCAUGUAGUUUUUUAUUUUUCAUUCACAUAGGUGACAAAGAAGCUGUUAAAACAAGUUAUUAUUGAUGCAUAAAGCAAUCACUACCUAUAGAAACUAUGCCCAUCUGUAAGUUUUUCACCUAAUUAUACAUACACUUCUAAAUGGUUAAAAUUAUUAUUUACUUGCCUUUUGUAGCUUCUCUACCCGAUUUUGUACCAAUUUUUCAAUAUAGAACUUGUAUCCUUUUCAGCCUUUGAUUGAUCAUCCUGUUACAUGUAAGUUUUUAAAGUUACUUGGAUUUACUUAUAAAGAUUGUGAAGGCCUUUUGGUUGUUUCUUUAAAUGACAUUUGGUUGCAAUUUUUUUUCUCACCCCUGGUUUAUCGUAAUAUACAACUCUAUAAAUAUAGAUAUUUUUAAUCAUAUAUUAUAUUAUUAGUUAUUUAUUUUUCUUCAUAAGUCAUUUUUAAUGUCAUAUCAAUUUUUUUUAAUGUUAUAAGAUCAGAGUAUGUAUGUUUGAUGCUUAUGUAAUUAGUGUUUAAUAUCUUAAAUAGCAUUUUUAUUGUUUUAUAAGAAAACCACUAAAGGAUUCCAUGAAACUGUUUUAGGCCAAGUGCUCGGUAAACUUUUAUAUCAUGAAACUAUUUUUUCUUCUUCUUCUAAGCAUGCGUCAUCAUUGCUAAAAGGAUCAAUGACUAUACCCAAGGAUCUUGAAUUAGGCAACCCAAUCCAAACCAUCCAUCAAACAAAUGUGAUUCGUCAACAAGUGAUGAUGUCGGUAAAAUUUACUGAUCACCAUAGUUACUGAUCAUUAUUAUAUUGUCAAAGUUUUAAAUCGUCUUUUUUGUUAUUCUUAUUUUUUAUUUAUAGAAACAUUUGUAUAUUAAAUCGACUUUCUUUACGCUUCAAAUGACAUUAUAAUGACCAAUCUUGCAGGUCCAGUUGCUGAUAGAAGAGAUGGCAUUAGCUCAUUUGUAUCAUUUUAAAAUCUUAUUUAUUCAGGAAAAGAUGAAGUUGUAUUGCAUUUAGCCCCAAAAGAAUGUUUAGAGCAUCAAACCAGUUGUAUUGCCUCCUGCUGCUACUACAUAAGUUCAAAUUGCAUGAGAUGUUCGACAACCAAAUGUUAAGUUAUACAUAUCUUAUCUUUCUUUGGCACACAUACCCGAAAGCUCCAACCAGAUCAUAUUGGCGUACUCUGGUGGCUCAGUUGGAUUUUAUCAUCAACAAGGAGUAAGAAACAUCAAGUUUAUGUUCUUUCCAAAUAAGUUCAUGAUAAUGAUUUCUUGUGCUUGAUCACAUCAUGACAAAACUGCUACUAGUAUUUCUUUUUUGACUUAAUUACUGUAUUUUCAUUUGUAUUUGUGUAUGACAACUUGAAGUUAUUGGAUGACAUGGCAUAAUUGAUCAGUUCAACCUACUGUGUCCUGCAGUGUUCCCUGUUGUUGGAAAUUGUGGCUUAUUGUCAUCAAUUAAAGCGAAGCCAAUGCAAGAAUUUGUUGCAUUUGUAGGAUGGAAUGAGUUGUUGUUCAGGAUUAAUCUUCUAUUUUGAUAAUUUUGUUCUAUUAAACGCAACUAAAUUUUAGAUUAUUGUUGCUAGCGUUUUACUGUUUGGGUUACAUAUGGCCAUCAUGUAAAACAUAACUGCAUCUCUAAAAUGAUACACAUGUUCUACUUUGUCUUGGUAUCAUUUCACAAAUUAGUGGCUUAUUUGGCCAUGUAGUUUUUUAUUUUUCAUUCACAUAGGUGACAAAGAAGCUGUUAAAACAAGUUAUUAUUGAUGCAUAAAGCAAUCACUACCUAUAGAAACUAUGCCCAUCUGUAAGUUUUUCACCUAAUUAUUUAUACAGUUCUAAAUGGUUAAAAUUAUUAUUUGCUUGCCUUUUGUAGCUUCUCUACCUGAUUUCGUACCAAUUUUUCAAUAAAGAACUUGUAUCCUUCUCAGACCAUGAAGCUUUUGAUUGAUCAUCCUGUUACAUGUAAGUUUUUAAAGUUACUUGGCUUUACUUAUAAAGAAUGUGAAGGCCUUUUGGUUGUUUCUUUAAAUGACAUAUUUGGUUGCAAAUUUUUUUCUCACCCCUGGUUUAUCCUAAUAUACAACUCUAUAAAUAUAGAUAUUUUUAAUCAUAUAUUAUAUUAUUAGUUAUUUAUUUUUCUUCAUAAGUCAUUUUUAAUGUCAUAUCACUUUUUUUUAAUGCUAUAAGAUCAAAGUAUGUAUGUUUUAUGCUUAUGUAAUUAGUGUUUAAUAUCUUAAAUAGCAUUUUUAUUGUUUUAUAAGAAAACCACUAAAGGAUUCCAAUUCCUUUGACAAAUUCCAUUCAUUUCAAAAAUAUUAUGUGAACCACUUGUUCCCUUACAUUACUCUGAGAUUAAUUGCUAUUCUUUUUCGCAGUUCCUUUAACAAGUUCCAUUCAUUACUCUGCAACAAUAAAAGGUUUUAGAAACCAAAUAAAAAACACUUGAUGCUUUUUAUGUGUCUUAUACAGUUUUUCUGCUCAUGUUUUUAUUUCCAUUGAAUGUCAAAUACCUGAGAUGUUCCUGAGAUGAAGUAUACAUGCAUCCGAUGAUCCAUUGAAUGUCAAAUACCUGAGAUGUUCCUGAGAUGAAGUAUACAUACUUGAUUCAUUUAAUCCAAUAUUGAUGUAUGCUAUUCCUCUUGUUUUAGAAGUAAAGCGUGUGGAUGUUCCUGAGAUGAAGUAUACAUACAUCCGAUGAUGAAAACAAAUUUCUAUUUUAUAUCCCAACCAAAAAGGUGGAAGGUGGGAUGGGAACUGACUCUUGAUCUUUCUGUCUGAGUAAAAGACGAAAAUGCCCUCCUCAUCAUUUGAAAAUUUUUGACUUUGUUGAUUUCAAAAUCAACUAGUAUUAUAAGAUUUGAGAAACCUAUGUUUGAUUUCCUACAUGUAUUAUUUUUCAAGUUUUUAAGUACAUUUUAUCACCAGAUAUCUACACUACACUGAUGCAUGUAAUUCCAAAAUAUUUUGAAAUCAUGAUUCGUUAAUUAUGCAGACAGAUCUCCAUUGGCUAAAAAACAUAGCAACAACAUCCUAACAGGUGAGGGGACAUUAAUUAGGGUUCAUUUUGUUUCAGAAGCAACAACCAAGGUGAAAAACAACAUGCACACAAAUUUAUGUUCUUCAAAUCUAUUUCAUUCCAUUUUUUAUUAUACUAAUUCCAAACUUUUUUUUAUCAUAAUCAAGACUUUUCGUUUCUGAAGGGAGACAUAUCCAUCAGCUGUAUAGCUUCCUCGAAUUCUUGUAGCUGCAAGCUGUGAUCAAAUUUAUUCCUGGAAGUAAUGGUCGCUAUACUAAAAUAAUGUUGUUGAUCAUGAAGGGUAAAUUUGUCCAAAAAUAUAAAUUUUGGCUGGAAAGUAGGAGUGAUGGGUGAAAAGGUCGAUAACCUUUUUGUUUUGAAAUAUGAGAUUCACUAACUUUAUUAAACAAAAACUGUUAACUUAAACAUUCUCCAA
Molecule: non-coding RNA, 4591 nt
Organism: Lactuca sativa (garden lettuce)
Lineage: Eukaryota; Viridiplantae; Streptophyta; Magnoliopsida; Asterales; Asteraceae
Source: RefSeq, a predicted model, not a curated record